This 492-nucleotide ribosomal RNA is filed under the name uncultured bacterium. RNAcentral describes it as "partial 16S ribosomal RNA". It matches the Rfam family "Bacterial small subunit ribosomal RNA", at positions 29 to 507 of the family's 1533-position model. The record is from RNAcentral.
AGUGAACGCUGGCGGUAGGCCUAACACAUGCAAGUCGAACGGCAGCACAGUAAGAGCUUGCUCUUACGGGUGGCGAGUGGCGGACGGGUGAGGAAUACAUCGGAAUCUACUUUUUCGUGGGGGAUAACGUAGGGAAACUUACGCUACUACCGCAUACGACCUACGGGUGAAAGCAGGGGAUCUUCGGACCUUGCGCGAUUGCAUGAGCCGAUGUCGGAUUAGCUAGUUGGCGGGGUAAAGGCCCACCAAGGCGACGAUCCGUAGCUGGUCUGAGAGGAUGAUCAGCCACACUGGAACUGAGACACGGUCCAGACUCCUACGGGAGGCAGCAGUGGGGAAUAUUGGACAAUGGGCGCAAGCCUGAUCCAGCCAUACCGCGUGGGUGAAGAAGGCCUUCGGGUUGUAAAGCCCUUUUGUUGGGAAAGAAAAGCAGCAGGUUAAUACCCCGCUGUUCUGACGGUACCCAAAGAAUAAGCACCGGCUAACUUCGUG